UACGAAGGGGGCUAGCGUUGUUCGGAUUUACUGGGCGUAAAGCGUGCGCAGGCGGUUCGUUGUGUCGGUGGUGAAAUCCCCGGGCUUAACCUGGGAAUGGCCAUGGAAACUGGCGAACUGGAGUGCGGCAGAGGGGGGUGGAAUUCCGCGUGUAGCAGUGAAAUGCGUAGAGAUGCGGAGGAACACCGAUGGCGAAGGCAGCCCCCUGGGCUAGCACUGACGCUCAGGCACGAAAGCGUGGGGAGCAAACAGG
Molecule: ribosomal RNA, 253 nt
Filed under: uncultured bacterium
Lineage: Bacteria
Description: partial 16S ribosomal RNA
Rfam family: Bacterial small subunit ribosomal RNA
Source: RNAcentral